UACGUAGGGUGCAAGCGUUGUCCGGAAUUAUUGGGCGUAAAGAGCUCGUAGGCGGUUUGUCGCGUCUGCUGUGAAAACUCGGGGCUUAACUCCGGGCCUGCAGUGGGUACGGGCAGACUAGAGUGCGGUAGGGGAGACUGGAAUUCCUGGUGUAGCGGUGAAAUGCGUAGAUAUCGAGAGGAACACCUGCGGCGAAGGCGGGUUGCUGGGCUGAUACUGACGCUGAGGCGCGAAAGCCAGGGGAGCAAACAGG
Molecule: ribosomal RNA, 253 nt
Filed under: uncultured bacterium
Lineage: Bacteria
Description: partial 16S ribosomal RNA
Rfam family: Bacterial small subunit ribosomal RNA
Source: RNAcentral